RNAcentral lists this ribosomal RNA (465 nucleotides) under Vreelandella stevensii. RNAcentral's name for it is "partial 16S ribosomal RNA". It matches the Rfam family "Bacterial small subunit ribosomal RNA", at positions 338 to 795 of the family's 1533-position model. Lineage: Bacteria; Pseudomonadati; Pseudomonadota; Gammaproteobacteria; Oceanospirillales; Halomonadaceae. The record is from RNAcentral.
CCUACGGGUGGCUGCAGUGGGGAAUAUUGGACAAUGGGCGAAAGCCUGAUCCAGCCAUGCCGCGUGUGUGAAGAAGGCCUUCGGGUUGUAAAGCACUUUCAGUGGGGAAGAAAGCCUUGGGGCUAAUACCCUCGAGGAAGGACAUCACCCACAGAAGAAGCACCGGCUAACUCCGUGCCAGCAGCCGCGGUAAUACGGAGGGUGCGAGCGUUAAUCGGAAUUACUGGGCGUAAAGCGAGCGUAGGCGGUCUGAUAAGCCGGUUGUGAAAGCCCCGGGCUCAACCUGGGAACGGCAUCCGGAACUGUCAGGCUAGAGUGCAGGAGAGGAAGGUAGAAUUCCCGGUGUAGCGGUGAAAUGCGUAGAGAUCGGGAGGAAUACCAGUGGCGAAGGCGGCCUUCUGGACUGACACUGACGCUGAGGUGCGAAAGCGUGGGUAGCAAACAGGAUUAGAUACCCGAGUAGUC